This is a long non-coding RNA of Camelus dromedarius (Arabian camel), 525 nucleotides long. RefSeq lists it as uncharacterized. The record is from RefSeq and is a predicted model, not a curated record. Lineage: Eukaryota; Metazoa; Chordata; Mammalia; Artiodactyla; Camelidae. The transcript has 4 exons.
CUCUCUCCUGGAAUCCGCUGAGCUGUUUUAAUCUGGACUGGUGCCCAGAACCCCCUUUGCCUCAUUUGGGAUACAGCCUACGAGAGAAAUUAGUCUUUGCUCACCUUCGUAGAGAAAAUCUUCAGUGCAAAAGGUCUUCGGUGGCACAAACAGAUGAGACCUCUCUCUGUCCUCACAACACAGGAAGCAGCUAGGACAACAGGAGACAUGACUGUGGAGGCAGGAUGGCGGCACAGAGCCACAGUUCCCCUGCAGGGGUGGAAGCCCGCCUUCAGGAAGUGGGGAAGGCCCCUACCCACCACAGGCAGUCACCAGGGUCCAGUUUUAGCAAGAAUCCUGCUAAGGCACUUUAGCUGGGAUGCUCCACCUUCCGCAGCUGACCACUUCCAUAUCUGACCAGUGCAGCAUCCGCCACGUGAUAUCUGAUCACUCUAGCCUACCUUCAGCAAGAAUCCUGUUAGGCCAGGUAGCAGAGAAUUAUCCCACCUUCUUCUAAAUUUUCUAUCCAUCCACCCCCACCCCCAC